This 565-nucleotide ribosomal RNA is filed under the name Staphylococcus pseudintermedius. RNAcentral describes it as "bacterial SSU rRNA". It matches the Rfam family "Bacterial small subunit ribosomal RNA", at positions 252 to 809 of the family's 1533-position model. The record is from RNAcentral. Lineage: Bacteria; Bacillati; Bacillota; Bacilli; Caryophanales; Staphylococcaceae.
GUGGGGUAACGGCCUACCAAGGCGACGAUACGUAGCCGACCUGAGAGGGUGAUCGGCCACACUGGAACUGAGACACGGUCCAGACUCCUACGGGAGGCAGCAGUAGGGAAUCUUCCGCAAUGGGCGAAAGCCUGACGGAGCAACGCCGCGUGAGUGAUGAAGGUCUUCGGAUCGUAAAGCUCUGUUGUUAGGGAAGAACAAAUGUGUAAGUAACUGUGCACAUCUUGACGGUACCUAACCAGAAAGCCACGGCUAACUACGUGCCAGCAGCCGCGGUAAUACGUAGGUGGCAAGCGUUAUCCGGAAUUAUUGGGCGUAAAGCGCGCGUAGGCGGUUUUUUAAGUCUGAUGUGAAAGCCCACGGCUCAACCGUGGAGGGUCAUUGGAAACUGGAAAACUUGAGUGCAGAAGAGGAAAGUGGAAUUCCAUGUGUAGCGGUGAAAUGCGCAGAGAUAUGGAGGAACACCAGUGGCGAAGGCGGCUUUCUGGUCUGCAACUGACGCUGAUGUGCGAAAGCGUGGGGAUCAAACAGGAUUAGAUACCCUGGUAGUCCACGCCGUAAACGA